Molecule: long non-coding RNA, 1922 nt
Organism: Olea europaea var. sylvestris
Lineage: Eukaryota; Viridiplantae; Streptophyta; Magnoliopsida; Lamiales; Oleaceae
Exons: 3
Source: RefSeq, a predicted model, not a curated record
UCCGCUGUCGACCUUGUCAAGCACUAUGUUUUGUGCUGAUAAGACCAUUGUCGAAGAACACUUACACUACGAUAAAUAGAGCAGUGGCAGAGCUAUUGUGUCUCGAGCUCGUUUGGCUGGUUGAUAGGUGGACUAGAGUUAAGUUGAAGAAAUCUAAGCUUACUAUUCCAUUUUUUAUAUUACAUCAUUUGUUGAUUGCAAAGCUUAUUUCUUACAUAUUUUCAAAUUUUCGCAGUCUCCGAUCUCUAUUAUGUUUGAAGAACAGAUAUGUAAUUGAAAGUCGAGAUCAUAGUAAACGUAAUUCCGAAUAUCUAGUAUCUUAAAUAAAGUUAGUUAUUGCCAUUAAGAGUGAUAAUAUAGUUGGUGAUACACCUUGGAAAUUUCAAUCACUAAAUAUAAAAAUUGUUGGAAAUACACAUGUUUUUACUGGUGAUAAAGAGGGGAAGUAGUUUUGCAGUUGCUAUAGCAGCAACAGCCGGUGAAGUAUCUGAUUUCAUUUUGGUGUGGAUCAAACCUAGAUCUUGAACUAGCCCUGCAUUUCAAUUUUCAAUGGAAGAUGAGAGGGCAAGGCAAGAAGCAGCUAUAAAGAAGGUUGCAAAAGAAGCUGCACAGCAGGAAAAUUGUUAACAUUCUGCAUUACAGGAUGCUACCAUAUUUGAAAAUGUGGACACCAGAACGACUUAAUCUGAAAAUGAAACAAAAGACCUAAUGGUUAAACUCUCUUUUACACUUCAUGCCUUGGAUUUUCUAAGUUUUAUUUGUUUGCAAUAGUGGUAAGACUACAAUGGCAGUGAGUUUCAAUUUUGAUGAUGAUUUUCCAUAUGUCAAAAUUGUAAGUGAUUUUAUAUGUUCGUGCUGAGCAUUUAUAUAUUUGUUUUCAUUAUUUCCUCUCAUAUUCUUAUUCUUUUAUGUGUUUCUGAUUUUAAUUUGUUUCUUUGUUAGAUAUCUGCUGAUUUGAUUAUUGGCUUACUGAACAAAGAAAAUGUGCUCAGCUUGUCAAGGUAUUCGAUGAUGUUUAUAAGUCACAACUACACAUAAUUAUCCUCGAUGAUAUUGAAAGGUAACUAUUGUUGACUCUACCAUUCUUGCGUAAUCUUUGUUAUUAACUGCACUCUGUUGGAGUAUGUUGCCAUUGAACUCCGAUUUUUGGAUGUGAUUUCUCAAACAUUGUUGGUGCUCAUGUAACGAAUUAUUUUGAAGGGGAAAAACAUCCAUGUCUUUGGAACUAUAAGUUAGGUAACUUUCUUAGAUUCAAAUAGCGUCGAAUCACACCAACACCACAUAUGGCUCACGGUCACGGACACUGCAUCGCCAUGUAGAAUGCAGCUUGGGUCAACAAAAAUUUUGGAAAAAACCGGAUGCACAUAACAAUUUUUCACAGAAAGAUUAGAGACACUCACAAGAUGGUGGACCCCAUGCGUAUUAAAAUAUUACAAAAAAAAACCCAACCACCCUCUAUGUGUGUGUUCUGUACCAAUUCUGUAGCCACCAUUUCUGUAAGUGUAGCUUUGCUCAAAAAUUUUCUCACCAAAAAAAGUCCAAAAAUCACUGUCGAACUUAUGUGCCCUCUGCAAAACAAACUAUAGCCAGACCAUAAUCCAAUAUUCUAUAUAUGUUGAUUCGUAUUUUCAUAUCAUCGCCACAUACCAAUCUUGAAAUCCGACUCCCUCUUUGAGAUUUAGAUGGAUCAUUUGAGAUAUUGCAGUUAAAGAUCAUAGCAAAUAUAAGCCAAAUUUGUAAAUCAUUUACAGCAAAAACUUGCCUGAAAUUCUUGUAAUGCAGUAAACAAGAGCAAAGAUCAUGCCACUAGAUGCCCAAGCAAUACCUUUGUAAAGAUGUGAAAAAGAAUUGGGAAACGUAAGGCUACGGUUGGUUUGGCGUUUUUGGGUCAUUUUUCGUUUUUCGUUUUCGAAAACACAGAA